ACUUUACAAUGCUGGCAACAGCGAUAAGGGAACCUCGAGUGCCAGGUUACAAAUCUGGCUGUCGAGAUGCCUAAAAAGCAUUUCAUAGCAAGGGCCGGGCAAGACCGGUGCCAGCCGCCGCGGUAACACCGGCGGCUCGAGUGGUAACCGUUAUUAUUGGGUCUAAAGGGUCUGUAGCCGGCCGGAUAAGUCUCUUGAGAAAUCUGGCAGCUUAACUGUCAGGCUUUCAGGAGAUACUGUCUGGCUCGAGGCCGGGAGAGGUGAGAGGUACUUCAGGGGUAGGGGUGAAAUCUUGUAAUCCUUGAAGGACCACCAGUGGCGAAGGCGUCUCACCAGAACGGACCUGACGGCAAGGGACGAAAGCUGGGGGAGCAAACCGG
Molecule: ribosomal RNA, 380 nt
Filed under: uncultured archaeon
Lineage: Archaea
Description: bacterial SSU rRNA
Rfam family: Archaeal small subunit ribosomal RNA
Source: RNAcentral